GCAACCUGCCUGUAAGCGGGGAAUAACCCGUUCGAAAGAACGGACUAAUACUAGCAUAAUACUAAAUUACUGCAUGGUAAUUUAUUUAACAUUUAUGGCUUACAGAUGGGCAUGCGCAUGAUUAGCUAGUUGGAGAGGUAACGGCUCCCCAAGGCAACGAUCAUUAGGGGUUCUGAGAGGAAGGUCCCCCACACUGGUACUGAGACACGGACCAGACUCCUACGGGAGGCAGCAGUGAGGAAUAUUGGUCAAUGGACGAGAGUCUGAACCAGCCAAGUCGCGUGCAGGAAGAAUUGUCCUAUGGAUUGUAAACUGCUUUUGCAGGGGAAUAAAGUGCAUCACGUGUGAUGUUUUGUAUGUACUCUGCGAAUAAGGAUCGGCUAACUCCGUGCCAGCCGCCGC
This 402-nucleotide ribosomal RNA is filed under the name uncultured bacterium. RNAcentral describes it as "bacterial SSU rRNA". It matches the Rfam family "Bacterial small subunit ribosomal RNA", at positions 121 to 518 of the family's 1533-position model. The record is from RNAcentral.